AUGACGAUUUUAUAGCAAUCAUGACCAAAUUUAAAGCUCGGAAACUUGAUAGGAAUGCUUGCAUUGAAGAGGUCAAGGAACUGCUUAAAGGACAUCGAGACUUGAUUUCGGGUUUCAAUGUAUUCUUGCCAAAAUGUUUGGAGAUCGCUGAUUGGUAUAACUUAGAGGGUAGGUGAUGUAGCUUGUGAUUCAAUAUUUUUCUUCAUUAAUUUGGGAGUUAUGUAUUAGAUUUAGCCAUUAUAGGCUUAUAAAUAAGGUUCUAAGA
Molecule: non-coding RNA, 265 nt
Organism: Camelina sativa (false flax)
Lineage: Eukaryota; Viridiplantae; Streptophyta; Magnoliopsida; Brassicales; Brassicaceae
Source: RefSeq, a predicted model, not a curated record